This 46-nucleotide small RNA is filed under the name Rubripirellula obstinata. Its description in RNAcentral is "Planctomycete LF1 Acido-Lenti-1 RNA". It matches the Rfam family "Acido-Lenti-1 RNA". Lineage: Bacteria; Pseudomonadati; Planctomycetota; Planctomycetia; Pirellulales; Pirellulaceae. The record is from Rfam by way of RNAcentral.
CCUGGGGCUGCCGCCCCAGGCUAAGUGCUGUCGUGCCUCCGGCACU